AGAGUUUGAUCCUGGCUCAGAUUGAACGCUGGCGGCAUGCCUUACACAUGCAAGUCGAACGGCAGCGCGGGGCAACCUGGCGGCGAGUGGCGAACGGGUGAGUAAUAUAUCGGAACGUACCCUGGAGUGGGGGAUAACGUAGCGAAAGUUACGCUAAUACCGCAUACGAUCCAAGGAUGAAAGCAGGGGACCGCAAGGCCUUGUGCUCCUGGAGCGGCCGAUAUCUGAUUAGCUAGUUGGCGGGGUAAAAGCCCACCAAGGCAACGAUCAGUAGCUGGUCUGAGAGGACGACCAGCCACACUGGAACUGAGACACGGUCCAGACUCCUACGGGAGGCAGCAGUGGGGAAUUUUGGACAAUGGGCGCAAGCCUGAUCCAGCAAUGCCGCGUGAGUGAAGAAGGCCUUCGGG
RNAcentral lists this ribosomal RNA (410 nucleotides) under uncultured bacterium. RNAcentral describes it as "bacterial SSU rRNA". It matches the Rfam family "Bacterial small subunit ribosomal RNA", at positions 8 to 422 of the family's 1533-position model. The record is from RNAcentral.